GCCCUCUCAUCACAUGCUAUGCAUAUGACUUAUAACUGUGAUACUAACCUUGACCACUUUGUUCAGAUGGUAUUUGUCAAACUUCUACACUCUAAAGCUACUCUUUUUCACCUUUUCCAUACAGUACUCUUGGGCAGGAUGUUAAUUCGGAUGUGCAAUCCAAACUAACAGAGUAGGGAGUUACGUUCUAUUUCCUUGAGGACAGAAUAUCUACAUAAAUUAUGUGGAAUUCUUUUUGGAUGAACAAUUUGUCUUUUUUAUCCAAUUUAUUUUUUUUAACCAAUCCUAUUUUCGUAUAGCCAUUUGCAGUCAUAAAUAUUUAUUUUAUACUUUGGGUUAUGAUCAAAUACAACUGUAUUUACUUUGUUGCUCAAAUCAUUUCAGCUUUGGCUAGGCCAUUGGGAGAGUUUUAAGUUGGCUCCUGUAUUUCUUUGAUGUUCUCCAUCAUUGUGGCCUUUUUAGGGUCUUUUUGUUUAGUUGUUUUUGCCUUUUUUUUUUCUUUUUGAGAGCUUCCUUACUUUCUGGCACGGUAAGAUGCUCCAGGGUCAUUUUAUAUAUUUCUUGCUCUAGUCCUAGAAUUAGAUGUUCCUCCAAGGAGUGCUGGUUUCUUUUAUUGCAGAAUGGUAAAACACAAAACAAAACAGCAAGAUCUGAAUCCUAGGUGCUUAACAUUUUACGAAGCCGUUGGUAAUUUAUAAUCAGUUUUUCCUAAAAAAAAUGAGCAACUUUCCUGAACAUUUUCCAGGUGACACAUUUACACAUGGUAAAAUCUGAAGAACAUCUGGGAUUUUUAGCUUGGCAUUCCUAUCAAUGGCAAUCCAGGUGUACAAUAGAAAAUGUACCCAAGCUAGGCAAAGAACACUUUUCAUAACCUUUUUUCGUGUAUGUGAUGUGAGUCAGAUAUGAAAGACAGCAACUGACUUGAAGGUAAUGUUAUUUAUGUUACAUUAUAAACAAUGGAUGGCAUCACCAACUCAUGAAUUUGAGCAAGCUCUGGGAGAUGGUGAAAGACAGGGAAGCCUGGCAUGCUGCAGGGCAUGGGGUCACAGAGUAUUGGACGUGACUGAGUGACCAAACAGCAACAUGUUACUUAUAUUAUAUCACACUUUCCAAAAGUCAUGUUGGUAAAACAGAAAGGAAAAUGUGUUGGUCCCCUGCCCCACCUGCCUGCCUCAGAACCCUAAAAUCAUUCGAAAAAUUUCUUCUAAAAACUUAAAAAAUGAUUUUUUUUAAGGUAAAGUUGGACUAGGCCAAGUGGAUAUUUUACUAAAACAUUCCACUGGAGUCUUAGAGGAAAAAAGGGAGGUACUUCUUCCAGUUAUGGGAGCACUAAUGCAAACCAGUUUGGUAUUUGGUUGAUUCGUUUCUAGUUUAAUACAGCAGGACCUCAUUCUAGCCCCGCCCUGUGCUGGGUUGGGUAAUUCUGCUCCCUUCAUUUUGGCCAUUCCAGUGUUUUCCACAUCUGCCCUCCCCACUCCAUCCUUCUUUCUAUAGCUGGGGCGUAUCUUCAGUCUUCAUAUGCAUCUUGCUCCCACUUACACUUAACUCGCCCCUUAACUCUUCAGUUUUUGGUCAGUUCUUGAGACCAUGAUUUAAGCCUAUACUAUUUCAGACUCUUACUGAGCUUUUGAAACACAGCCUAAGAAAUGGUGAAUUACUCAACUACAUGUGGUAUAUCAAGCCUACAUUUGGGAGUUCUAUAAUCUUGCCAAAGAUUUUAAGAAAACUGUAACCUGUGUUCUCAUCUUUUCCUCUCUCCUGAGACAAUAUAUUUGAAUUAACAUAUAUCUCUUCUCAUUUUCUCUCUUUCUUUUCCUCAUCAUAGUAUCAUUUAAUCCAAGAUUGCACCCAAACCAAGGCUGUUUACACAAAAUCCCUGAGAGGGGAUUGUUUACCACCUACUCAAACAUCGUCAUUGCUUGGAACUCAUUUCUUUGUGAAGUUUGCUGUUUCAAUUUUGGACAGAUCAGUUUAUGGAAAACUGUCCUUCAUACUGAAAUGAAAUUUAUCUUAUCAUCUGUACCCAUCAUUCCUAGAAUCAAAUGAGGCACUAUAUGUAGAAACUUUUUAAGAAAGCAAAACCCUGAAUAAAUAAAAAGUAUAUUAAUAUCAAUUCUACUAUGUAGAGUUUGCAACUUUGACAAGCAUUAAUGUCUUAUCCAAGCCAUGGGAAUGUGAAUGUGAGAAUAUGGCAAAGGAUGCUCUUCACAGGUUUCUGAAAAGCUCCCUCCAAUUUCACACUAAUCCAUUAAUCACUGUUUUUUAAACUGUUCUAUUUCAGCAAUAAAAGACAAAGGCCAAGCUAAGCCAAGAGCUAGAAAAUAGAAACAAAGUCAAAACAAGAAAAAAACGAACAAAACAGAACAGAACCCAAGACUGAAGCCCAUCAGAAGCCAGAAAAAGUAGGAGGCAGUUGAUAAGACUGAAUCAUCUCUGCUGGCUAGGACACUUUGGUCUCUGAGAUCAGUGGAGGCAGUGGUUUCUCUGCUGUCUGCUUCAGAAGUAUUUCUGCUUCUCUCCUCAUGGUCAGAGAGAUCUUCAGAGUACUUGAGAAAUUGUUCCAGUUUGAGCCCAUCAAAUAAGCAGCAGCACUGGUUUGGAAAAAAAGAAUCCCAAUUGAAGGCUUGAGAAGAUUCCCAAAUUGACUCUCCAAAGGUCAUUUUGAAAGCUGUCCUUAAGGCUUGGUUGGGUAUGCUUUGCUUCCAAGCUGAGCUAUGGAUGAACUAUCCUGCCAGCAGUCCUGGAUUUGGGAGUCAAGAGAGGCCAAGAACAGAGCAGGGCAGGACUCCACGUCUGCUGGUGUCCACAAGACACAUUUGGCAAGCACUCCCAAAUCCAAACUUUCACAGAGCGUCAGAAAUCACUGGAAGCCAUGGGUUCCUUCCGAGUUCUCUCUCUUUGCUGAUACUGUUCGCAACCUCCAAGAGCCAGCUAGACCAGAGACUUUGGAAUUCUCUUCAAUCCCCCUUCCUCAUCCACUCACACAUGGUACACAGUACUUUAAAAGGAAGAAAAAUUUAUAAGACCUUUGACUGACAACCUACAAAAGCAAAAGCUGAGUAAGGAUACCAACACUUGAAUCCAAGGAUAAUGGAAAAAUAACAUCUGACUGGAAUAAAUGGAUAUAUAUAUAUAUAUAUGCCAUGCUAGCAUGUGAGUAGAGUAGAAGCAAAUUAGGUUGAUCCACAGAAAAGCAAAUAAGGGUUCUUGGAAAAAUAUAGGAACUGAAGAACUGGUAGUUCUGGCUGACCUGAGUGUAAAAUGCUUCAUUAAUUUUGCUGGUAAAUUCUUUUCCUGGCAAUCUGGUUCUCUGGGUCUGCUAUUUACCAACUGUGUGGUCUUGAGGAACUUUGAUUCUUUGAGUCUCAAAUUUCUCAUAUAUAAAAUGGAGUGAGAAUGCUAUUCUACCUACUUUAUCAGUUUCAACUUUCAAAAAGGGGAAUAUGUGAUAGCAUAGCUUUAGCUUGGUCAUAGCAUUUCCAUGAAUAAGUGAGGGUAAAAGGGAAAUGCUGAUUGUGUGGUUGCUUGUCAUGUUUUAACUAAUGUAAAAUUUUAGAACCUACGAUUAAGCUUGAACUCAUCAUUGAGGUAAUGCUUUGUGUUUUCACAUUAAAAAUUAAUGAUUACCUAAAAUAUUGAGUGAAUGCUUUCCUUAUCAAAAUUCUGAAAUUGUUUUACUGCAUUAGUCCAAGUCAGCAAUGUAAUUAUGCAGGCCUUUGUAGUUUGUUUUUGAAGAUUAGAAUUCAUCUUAUGAGUAGUUUGUUAGAAUUCAUAUCACACACAAAGUAGAACAUUUUAAGGUAAAAUAAGUGUUUGAACUAAAUGAAUUUGUUUAUACUCUUAACUUUUUGGUACCUGACAUUGUAAAACUGUAGUUUAAUUGACGGUGUGAUAUUAAUAUGCUUGAAGUGACUUUAUAGGAAUUUGAUUGCUAUUAUAACUACAAUUAUAAACAGUAACAAGCCAGAUAACAGAGAGCUUUUGGGACGAGCUUUCCAAGCAAAUAAGAACACCUGGUCACUCAUUGGGUGUAAUUUGAUAUAAUAUAGGAAUGUUAACUUUCAUAUAACUGGAUUUAAAUAGCUUUUGCCUAUACUUGCUUCACUUAAUAUUAGUGAUUGAGAAAUAUUUCCUGGCUAAGUAAUUGAUAUAUGAAUGAUACUUACUAGAUUUGUAGAAGGUAUUUGAAAUAUCUUAAACUCUUUGUUUAUUAUCUCAUUUAUAGUUUUCAUUUUUUCAUAACCAGGUAGAUAAAAUUUGUUAAAUAUUGUAAACUUUCCUUUUCACAUCUAAUGAAAUCAUACUCAGGAAGAAUCUAUUUAAAGUCAUUUGUGAAAAGAGGUGUGAAUAGUUGGUUCUAUAAAUAAAGGUUUUACAUAUUUUGAAAUAGGAUAUGAUACCAUCAAAAAUCACAAGAACUGUCUGGAAAUGUAAGGAAUUUUAAACAAGCAGUUACUUGUUUUACAAAGUUCAUUCAAAUAUGUAUCCACCUUUCUUCAUCCCAGGCAAUUUUCUGCAGAUCUCUUCCAACUAAUAUUAAGUUGUAAGUGCUGAGCUAAAUGAAUUUAUCUAUGCUGUCAUCUUUGGGUACCUGAUGUUAUAAACCUGGAAAUCUAAUUGGAAAUAUGAUAUCAAUAUGCUAUCUUUAGGAGUUUGAUUAUAUGACUUAUUUUAUGAAGCAAGAACUAAUAAAAUUGCUAGUUAUUUUAAUCAAGAACCAUUUGAAUGCUUAUAAAUUAAAGAUAUUUAGAUGUCAAGGCAAUAAAGCCUGUGAAAUGAAAUGGACCAGAUAACUAUUUAAAAGAAUUCCCAUCUGUCAAGUUGCAUAAAAUAACACAGCCUAGAAAUGAGGAUUAAUUUUCUCUCAGAUAACAUGUUAUCUUGUUUUAAUGUGAUUAAAAAUCCCCACUGGGUCUGAUGCUAAUCUCUCUUCCAAAGGCGUGGAUCUUAUCAAGUUUGGAGCCAUUCUGGAAAUAAGAGAGUACUCUACAGAAGAACUCUCAAGAGCCAGUAUCAGUUUUUAUAAUCUGUUUCUGGGCUAAUGAGAGAGUGGUUGAGUUUACACAGAUUAUCACUUGUGGCUGUCUCAUCAACUUGACAUUGAACAGGAAGAGAAUUCAAAGCUCAAGGAGGCUCAGACAAGGUCAGACAGGUAGAAACUGGGAGACCAUUUUUUUAGUGGUUUACCUUAAAAUGCUUUAGGUUUUGGUUUUUGUUUUUUUUAAUCUUAUCAUCUCCUGAUGUCCCUAAAACUUCCUUCUCUAGCUUAGAGGCUUACAUUAUAUAAAGAGUCUUUGCUUUUAAAAAUUCAAUAUGUUAUUCAUCAAACAAACAUUUAUUGAGUAUCUGUUAUGGACCAGUUACUGUGCUGAAGGGGCUGGGGAUGUAACUUUGAGUGAGGACCAGGAGCUGCUUUUCCUUCUGAGGCUCACAUAGCGGUGAAGUGGGCAUUAACCUGAAGGACACAGAGGCAGGGAGGACGCUGAAAGUGUCCUUCCUCUUUAAAUGCUUCUUGUCCCUGCAGCCUUUGGUUAUGAUGCUGCCUAUGUUUAUGUCCUCCUGUCACUUUAUAUUUGAAUGAAUAUCCAUCUAUGCAUUCAUUAUUCUUUCAACGAAUGUCAUUUGAGUGACUCCAUCAUCUUUCUAACAAUUGAGUGAUAGUCUUGCUCUCGGGCAUCUUAUGGUCUAGUGUGGGAGAUAAUAUACACACAUAUACAUAUGAUGAUGCCAUGCCAUUCAGAGUUAUGGAAGUUCAGAUAAAGGGGGGAUGAUUUCCAGUUGAUAGGGUCAAGCAAGGCUUCAUGGAUGAAGAGCUUGUAAAUGGAGCCUUAUGAUUAGUGAGAUUAUGAACAUAGGGCAAAAAGAGAAAAGUAGUUCAGGUAAAGGACAAGAGAACAAAGGCAUAAAAUUGAAAACCCAGAGAAUCAACAGAGCAAGGGUAAGCAUUCAGUUUGGACUUAUUAUCUCAGUUUUGAUGGAUUAGUUGGGAAGAGAAAAGAGAUAUAAAGAAGAACAUUAAAAGCAACUAAUAGUUACUUGCUGCCAAGGGCCACUGCAAAAUCCUCAGGUAUUUGGAAGCUUCCUUGAAUGAGACACACUUUGAAACUCUAGAUCUUCUGCAACCACCCACUCCAUGGUGCUGUUCCUCUAAGUUCCAAUUCUCUUACACUACCUAGAUAUUUAGGAAUGUACCGCAUUAGACAUGACAGAUAUUGGGGCCAAAUACUCAACAAUAGUUGGAAACAUGUAACUUGGAAAGACAUGUCUUCAUUUUGAAAUUGAAUUCCAGACAAAACUUUUGGGAUUUCAGGGCUGGUUACAAAGGUUGAACUUGUAUGAAGUUCAGCAAAGUUCACUUCUAGGGAUCCUGGAGAGAAUUAGGUGUAAAUCAGAACCAGUCGAGGUGGCAGUCUGCACGCACACAUUCAUCGGUACAGACAGACUUGCCCCAGUCUUCUGUAGCUUUAGAUGGAAACCAUGUGAAAUGCCUUGACAAUGCACAGCUUUGGCUGGAAGCCUAGCCAGUUCAGUGCCUUCCAUUUGAACCUGAACUUACUGCAGGGUCCAUAUCCUGCCCACAGAAAAUAAGAAGCUUGAAGCAGUAGGUGGGCCCAAACUAUUGAUUGUCCUUCCUGCCCUGACCUACAUUCUGUAAAAUUUAUGACAAUGUGAUCACCUCACAUUUCCAUGUAAGUUAGAACAUGAAAGGGGAAGCUGAACCUGCUGGGGCUUCCAUGAUUGGAUUUUUCCAGUUGGCAUCAAUUUCUGUUCCUAGAUAGAAUUAUGACAAAAAGAAAAGAAUGGUAGGGAGCCAAUAUUGUCUUACUGUAACAGGAUCUGUUUCAUUGAAGGUCAUCAAUUAUGUUAGCAUUUUGAUCCACCUGUAAAAUGUAUACUUUUUGAAUUUUGAAUUGUUUGGUGAGUGGUAUUUAACUUAAAAAAGAAUCAGAGCUGUGCCUACUAAUGCCUUCAGUGCACUUUCCCUGGUUAAAGAAAUCUAAAAACUUCAGCAUUGCUGUCUUGGGACUUUUCUCCUUUAUACAAGUCAAAGGUGCAAAUUUUAGACACAAAGACAUGCUGAUGUUUCCUAUUAGAAUGUGCUUGAAUAACUGAGGUGAUGUUUUGGUACAUUGUUUAAGAAUAUUAGACAGAAAGCUGUGUGCAGUAUGGCUUAAUGUAUAUUUAUCAUAGCAACUGAAAAUAUAUCUAAGCUUCAUAUUGUCACUCCCUAUACAGUACAAUAAAAAGUUACUGAGUCCUAAA
This is a long non-coding RNA of Bubalus bubalis (water buffalo), 7263 nucleotides long. RefSeq lists it as uncharacterized. Lineage: Eukaryota; Metazoa; Chordata; Mammalia; Artiodactyla; Bovidae. The transcript is spliced from 3 exons. The record is from RefSeq and is a predicted model, not a curated record.